GUGAAUCAUCGAAUCUUUGAACGCAAAUUGCGCUUCCUGGGAUCCCGGGAAGUAUGCCUGUGUGAGGGUCAGUAUUAAUAAAAAAUCUGGUGAGUUACAAAUUGUGACGUUUCCAGAGUUUGGGCUAUCUUAACAUGUUUGGUCAAGAGGCUUAAAAUUGACCUUUUUUGCGCAUUUUGAGACGUACAUAAAUUUUUUUUAUUCGUCUAGUCUUAAUUCCAAAAGCUUAGUAGAUGCGA
RNAcentral lists this unclassified non-coding RNA (239 nucleotides) under Rhizophagus sp. (in: glomeromycetes). Its description in RNAcentral is "partial contains 5.8S ribosomal RNA and internal transcribed spacer 2". The stretch from base 1 to 71 matches the Rfam family "5.8S ribosomal RNA", at positions 84 to 154 of the family's 154-position model. The record is from RNAcentral. Lineage: Eukaryota; Fungi; Glomeromycota; Glomeromycetes; Glomerales; Glomeraceae.